RNAcentral lists this long non-coding RNA (2789 nucleotides) under Homo sapiens (human). RNAcentral's name for it is "HSALNT0133595". Lineage: Eukaryota; Metazoa; Chordata; Mammalia; Primates; Hominidae. The record is from RNAcentral.
CUUGACUCCAGCGAUCAAAGAUUCUGAAAUAUUGAGGCCCUAUUUGAGAGUCAUACACUUAUACUAGUUUUAUUUGUUGUUGUUGUUUAUAAUCUGAAGAAAUGAACUUCAGCCAUCUAGAACAAAAAUAAUUGGAUUUGUUGGAGGGUUACGGACUGAGAAAAAGUUUGGUCAACCUUGUAGGGGAACCAGCCCGCUAUACCACCCGCGGGUUCUCCCCUUCCCAGUGGAGACGAGGGAAUGAGAAAAGAAAUAAAGACAAACACACAAAGUUCAAGAGUUAACAAAAGUGGGUCCAGGGGUCCAUCGCAAUGUGGAAACUGCGACAGCCCUGAGCUCUGGAUUCCACUGAUAUUUACUGAAUAAUCCUUAAAGUCCAACUAAUUGGUUAACAGAACAGGACGUGAAAGCAGACAGCCCGUCAGACCACAGGCCUGUGCAUCAAAGGAGCGGUCCACUCCAAGCACCAUCAGCAGGGCAGCAGAGCUCUCUGCCUCUGGGAACGAGCGAGAGAUAGAAGACUUUCCCCUUAUCCUCAGAGGACUUCUCCUCUUUUACAAGCAACCUCCUGCUGUUCCCUUCUGGGGAAUGGAGCAGGGGUCGCUUCCCUUCCCACAAGACCUUUGUUCAGGGACUCAAGUGGGAGGUUGAGCAAUAAGCAAGCUUUCUUGCUUAGAGGCUCCGCACACUUCCUGUGGUUGUUUGUUCCACCCUGCAGUUAGGCAAGCAAGCUCACCGCCUGAUUCUUAUAUUGUCGGACUAAGCAGAAGCUAUUCUUAUGAUUCAUGACUAUAUUAAUAAAGCACUAUUCUAAAGCAUAUUUUGUUAAUCCUUAAACAGGCACACCAUAGGCCAGCCCUCAACCACCUCGGCCCACAUCCAAGCCCCUGUUUUGACCCACAUUUCCCCCAUUUUUUAAAUUUAAAACAGCCAUCUCAAUCAUAACUUGCUUGUGGUUUUGAUUUUCUUUCAGGAGCUGCCUUCCGCAUCUGCAGACUAAAAACAGACAACAUAAGCAGACACAAAUUAAAACAAAAUUAGCAAUGGCAGAGCUUCCCAGAGUUUUAAUCCAUUUGAUAGAAUUGAGCUCCGAGAGCCUAUCUGCAGCUCCAGCAAGCAUUUCUGCUCCAGGCAACAAAUUUAAGUGAGCCUGCGAUGCUGCAAAAAUCUGUUCUUUUAAUUUAGUUAUAUCCAGGGUUAGAUUAUCUUCUCUUCCUUGUAAGUGGCAUCAGACCUUUUCCCACUGAUGUUCAGUAACAUUAUAAGAAUAAGGAGUAAUACAAAAAGCAGAUGUAUUCCAAUCACAUUGCAUUUGCAUACGAUGCUCUAAAUGCAUAAAACGAUCUCUUAUCCAGGUGACUGUUUGCCUCAAAUCAUUAAUUUGAUUGGCCAACUUCUGAUCAAUUUUUGCCUGAGAAUUCCAUAAUCUGGUGGAAUUUUUCUGCCAGGCAUUAACAUAAUGAGCAGUUUGAAUGGAAGAAUGCAAGGCAACACCUGCCACAGCCGCGGUGGUGGUGACAGCAAUCAAGCCCAUAAUCACAGCAAUUAAAGUAAAAAUAAAUCUUAUUGUACGAUUAAGAAUCCCUUUUAAAACUCCAGUUAUUACAUGAAUAGAGGGAAAAGUCUCCCAAGGCCUAUUAAGAGUAACUGGAAUCCAAACGCCCUCUCGUGCUCGGACCAGCAAAAUGCUAUUCCUCAUAUCAAAAGUAGAAUGAAUACAAGUAAACAGAUGGCAAUUGUCACAAGUAAUGGUUUGAGAGUCAGGUAAAAUGAUAAGUUUUCCAACAACUAACAUGUAAGGAGGUUUAACACAACUUUGAAGAGAAAUAGACUGAUUAGACUGAAGAAGCAUGGUAAACAGUAGCUUAUUACCUCUUGUUCCCCAUGAUGCUUCCCCUUUCCACACUCUCAUUCCGGAGGUAGCCAUAAGCAACUUCCACAAUUCUGGAUGUUCCAGACCCAUGACUGGACUAAUUAUCUUUGGCCAGGGAGGAGCAGUACCUUUAUCUUCCCAUUUCAAUGGAUAUAGUGAUUCCAAUCUUCUAACUAAAGUGGGGGGAUUAUUGGGACUUUCUCUAUAAUCUAUCAUGAAGGAAUCCUCAGCGCACCCAGCAUUUUGUCCAGUGCAAUUUCUGGCAAAGGAUCCUUUGGGGGCCCAAUCUAUAAUUAUUCCAUAAGAAUCCUUUUGCAAAACUACUGCACCAUCUGCUACACAGUUGUCCCAAGCAAGAAUCUCUAGUUUUUCUGACCAUUUUGGAUUUCUUUUAGGACAAGCCAGUCCUUGAGAUUUGUAAUUUUUUACUUUUAAAUUUGACCGAAAAUAACCAUCCCCAUAAGUUUUUACAGUCAUGAUAGGUUGGAAAGACAUUCCACUCACUACGUGAUAACUGGGUUGGGAACGAUUAUGAGGAGGUACAUAGAUUAUCCAACUAUGUAUUUGCAAUGGUAAACAUCAAGGAGCAAUUCCUAAACAAAUUGGAGGGUAUUCAUACCAGUUACAUUCAUCAACAUACCCUCCUUCUCAGGCUGUGCAGGACAGCCAUCAUCAAUCGGCCCAGGCAUCCAAAAUACUAUCAUUUGUAUAAACUUCAAUAGGGGAAUCCAUCCAAGUAACUGGCCUAAUUAAAGGAGGAAAUGGAACAGAAGCCAGUAUGUAAAAUUUUCUUCAGUCCAGACAGCAGGGAGACUUACCGCCGCGGUAAUUACCAUCAAGGCAGCCAAGAUCAUAUUACCCGGGAUAAUUGCCAGUUGUUUCUCCUUUAGGCUGCCCUCUGCCAUUUGAGUCAGCU